AAAUUUUCCCUUAACAAAAAGAACUCAUUUUUUCUCAUUUUCUCUUUUUGUUUUUGUUUUUAAUAGUUUGAAGUACCAUCUAAUUUUAAUUUGUACUCCUCUAUCUUUUUAAAUUUUUCUUUCUCUCCUGUUAUUUUGAUUUAGGUCUUUCUUUUGUAUCCGGGUGAUAUCUUAUACCACGCUGGCUUAUGAUUUGGGAAAGGAAUCAUAUAUUUCUCGACUUAGUGAAAGAAUAUAUUUGAUUCAAGUUUUAAUCUAAUAGAUGACAAAAAAAUGUUGUAUUCAGUUAUAUUAUAUAUAUUGUAUUUUACCUUGAUCAACAUUCAUAAAAAGAACAUUGCACUUGAUCAAAGUAUUUCUUUCCUCUCUCUCCUCACCUAACUCUAUCUCUACUUCAAUUUUUCAGAUCUGGUGUGCUCUGGCAUUCGGAUGGCGCGUGCGAGCAGCACCGGAGGCGGCUUUCUCUUCCUCCCUAGCUCGUUUUUUCUUUGGCUUCUUUAUAGCCUCUGUUUCUCUUCACUUUGUUCGAUUUUGUCUCUGAAAGUUUUCACGGCUAGUCCUCUGCUCACGAAGAGGCUCGACACCGGGUUGAACUUUGUACGCUCUGGAGUCGUAGUGCGGAGUCAAAUCAGUUUCUGUCAGAGGGGCUCGGUUUUUAGGGUUCAUGAGGGCUUUUUCAUCUUUUCUCUCUAGCAUUUCAGCGGCGUAUGGAGGAAGUUUCAAGCUUUCAGAAUUAUUGCUCGUGGAUUCCGGAUCUGCUUCCUAGCUUUGCCAAAGCGGUGGCGUUGUCUUGCACAGUGACUCAGCCUUGGUGUCUCGGUGAGUUUUGCCCUGUCUCUUUCGUAACAUGACAGCCUCGGAGGUUCUGUUACUUGAGGGAACAGUUAUAGCCAACAGGUUUGGUGUGUAUGGAUCUUGCGGUGUUCCCGGGUGGAGGUUCUUGGCGUUCGGUUUGUUUGGGUCGCCUAUGACUCCACCAUUGUAUCGCUGGUGGUCUCUCUUUCUUUUGUUUACCUCUUCUAGAUUCUAGUAUCAGGUCAACACUUGAAGCUUGUCGAUAGCUUCCUAGUUGCUUUGUUCGUGUAUAGUUUGGCUAGUUGGCCAUAGUCACUGGUUUUCAACAAUUUGACGGUUAAGGUUACUUCUGCUCGGUUCUCGACAGUGGCGUGUUAUGAGGAGAGUAGGGGUUUGUGUGGUCUAUGAACCUCUGGCUCCUUUCUGUGACUCAAUGCGGAGCUUCGGUAUCCUAGUGCCUUCUGCUGUUAUCAAGCAGUCUUGACAAUGUUGUUUCUAUUACUUUUGCAUGUCGUUGAUUUUUAUCUGGUGCUAGAAUAGUUGCUGUUUUGUGCCCGUCUUCUGCAGGUUUGUUUUAGCAGAGGCAUUUUGGCUAAUCGGUCUUUGCGGCUUGUUUUUUUUUCGGAGCCGGUGAGGAGUCCAUCUUGGGUUCAUUAUCUGCUCCGAUAUUUGGCGUUUGAGAAAAGUGUGUACAGCCGGUCUAAGAUUGCUACUUGCUACUCCGAGGCAACAAGGUGAAUCUCUCCUUCCCGUGGCCAUCGUCAAAGGCAGAGAACAGUAAUUGAUGCAUGAGGAUACUUGAUUCGAUUUACCGGAACGCGCCGGAAUAUAGGUUGAGCAAAGGUAGAUACAAUAUGGUUGAAUUGUGUAAUUUUGUGUGAGUUGUACUUAUUUCUGUUUACGGAUCGAUUAUUAAUAAUAAUAUAUUGUUAAAAAAAUAAUUCGUACAUGAUGUUUUUAUUUGAGGUUAUCAUUUUGAGUUUUAUAAUACUAA
Molecule: long non-coding RNA, 1789 nt
Organism: Brassica napus (rape)
Lineage: Eukaryota; Viridiplantae; Streptophyta; Magnoliopsida; Brassicales; Brassicaceae
Exons: 2
Source: RefSeq, a predicted model, not a curated record